Molecule: ribosomal RNA, 1343 nt
Filed under: uncultured bacterium
Lineage: Bacteria
Description: 16S ribosomal RNA
Rfam family: Bacterial small subunit ribosomal RNA
Source: RNAcentral
GACGAACGCUGGCGGCGUGCUUAACACAUGCAAGUCGAACGGAAAGGCCCUGCUUUUGUGGGGUGCUCGAGUGGCGAACGGGUGAGUAACACGUGAGUAACCUGCCCUUGACUUUGGGAUAACUUCAGGAAACUGGGGCUAAUACCGGAUAGGAGCUCCUGCUGCAUGGUGGGGGUUGGAAAGUUUCGGCGGUUGGGGAUGGACUCGCGGCUUAUCAGCUUGUUGGUGGGGUAGUGGCUUACCAAGGCUUUGACGGGUAGCCGGCCUGAGAGGGUGACCGGCCACAUUGGGACUGAGAUACGGCCCAGACUCCUACGGGAGGCAGCAGUGGGGAAUAUUGCACAAUGGGCGGAAGCCUGAUGCAGCAACGCCGCGUGCGGGAUGACGGCCUUCGGGUUGUAAACCGCUUUCGCCUGUGACGAAGCGUGAGUGACGGUAAUGGGUAAAGAAGCACCGGCUAACUACGUGCCAGCAGCCGCGGUGAUACGUAGGGUGCGAGCGUUGUCCGGAUUUAUUGGGCGUAAAGGGCUCGUAGGUGGUUGAUCGCGUCGGAAGUGUAAUCUUGGGGCUUAACCCUGAGCGUGCUUUCGAUACGGGUUGACUUGAGGAAGGUAGGGGAGAAUGGAAUUCCUGGUGGAGCGGUGGAAUGCGCAGAUAUCAGGAGGAACACCAGUGGCGAAGGCGGUUCCCUGGGCCUUUCCUGACGCUGAGGAGCGAAAGCGUGGGGAGCGAACAGGCUUAGAUACCCUAGUAGUCCACGCUGUAAACGGUGGGUACUAGGUGUGGGGUCCAUUCCACGGGUUCCGUGCCGUAGCUAACGCUUUAAGUACCCCGCCUGGGGAGUACGGCCGCAAGGCUAAAACUCAAAGGAAUUGACGGGGCCCCGCACAAGCGGCGGAGCAUGCGGAUUAAUUCGAUGCAACGCGUAGAACCUUACCUGGGUUUGACAUGGAUCGGGAGUGCUCAGAGAUGGGUGUGCCUCUUUUGGGGUCGGUUCACAGGUGGUGCAUGGCUGUCGUCAGCUCGUGUCGUGAGAUGUUGGGUUAAGUCCCGCAACGAGCGCAACCCUUGUUCACUGUUGCCAGCACGUUAUGGUGGGGACUCAGUGGAGACCGCCGGGGUCAACUCGGAGGAAGGUGGGGAUGACGUCAAGUCAUCAUGCCCCUUAUGUCCAGGGCUUCACGCAUGCUACAAUGGCUGGUACAGAGAGUGGCGAGCCUGUGAGGGUGAGCGAAUCUCGGAAAGCCGGUCUCAGUUCGGAUUGGGGUCUGCAACUCGACCUCAUGAAGUCGGAGUCGCUAGUAAUCGCAGAUCAGCAACGCUGCGGUGAAUACGUUCCCGGG